GGAGAGAUGGAUGAGCGGUCGAAGUCGCACGCCUGGAAAGCGUGUAGGGGUCCAAAGCCCCUCGGGGGUUCGAAUCCCCCUCUCUCCGCCA
RNAcentral lists this transfer RNA (91 nucleotides) under Pseudomonadota bacterium. RNAcentral's name for it is "tRNA-Ser". It matches the Rfam family "tRNA". Rfam says of the family: Transfer RNA (tRNA) molecules are approximately 80 nucleotides in length. Their secondary structure includes four short double-helical elements and three loops (D, anti-codon, and T loops). The record is from RNAcentral. RNAcentral also lists the same sequence under 3 other names. Lineage: Bacteria; Pseudomonadati; Pseudomonadota.